Molecule: transfer RNA, 96 nt
Filed under: Austwickia sp. TVS 96-490-7B
Lineage: Bacteria; Bacillati; Actinomycetota; Actinomycetes; Micrococcales; Dermatophilaceae
Description: tRNA-Pro
Source: RNAcentral
GUGUAUCUGGCAGCGGUUCUGUUGCAGGAAGUUCUGGGGAGGUUUCGGGGGGUGUCACUCGACAUGGCAAUGCCGGUGCUAUUGCUGCGGUGGGCG